This 1241-nucleotide long non-coding RNA is filed under the name Setaria italica (foxtail millet). RNAcentral describes it as "long non-coding RNA (SITA_LNC002620)". The record is from RNAcentral. Lineage: Eukaryota; Viridiplantae; Streptophyta; Magnoliopsida; Poales; Poaceae.
UGAGCAUUUGGGCUGUCCAAUUCUUGGAUGAUGAAAAAAAAAAAGGAGGAUUUAGCACCUCAGAAUGCAGAAAUCGGAUUUACUCAAAAGUAGUCAGAGAUUCAGAGUCUCAACAAGUCAGCAGUCAGCUUACUGUAAAAAAAGGGGGCCAAUUUCACAAGAGUGGAGAAGGUUGUGCUAGACAGCAGAUAUAAAAUUGUUGCUUUGGACAUGCGUUAGGCGUGGGUAUGUAGGUGGGUGAUCGCGACGGAGACCAUUCUCUUUUCCAGCUAGCAGCCACAGCGUCGACUGAAGAACGUCCAGACUCUGUUGCAGUCGUCGGAAACCUUGCCAUCCUGCCACACCACACAGCGGAAAAACAAAACACACACACGCACACACCAAAGAAUGGUCAAUCCUGCUAGUGGCGAACAAAGUCGGAACAUCAUUUUUAAGAUAAACACAAAGAUUAUGCAAACUAGUAAUAGGCAAAAGAUUCCUAGGAUGCACCCAGGGGCGGACCUAGGAGGGCUCUAGCCUGCCUACUGCCCAAGACCUUCAUUAGAUCAAAGGAGGAAGAUGAGAAGAAGAGAGGGGAAAAAAGAAGAAGAAUAAGAGAAAGAAAUAGCUUAUUGCCCAACCAUAGUGCAUAAAGAAGAGUUUUCUCUUUCCUCUACUCUCUCUCCUACUACACGAGUAGAAUAAAUAGCUGCCGCUUGUUGAUGUUUUUUACAUAAGCAUCGAGAAAGUGAACCACAAUUUUUGUUUACUAUAAAGAUACGUAGCUUUCCUGCGUAUUCUCGAACGAAAAAGAAAGGAACCACGAUAAAAAUCCAUCUGUUCAUGGGUCCCGGCUUGUAUUAUUGGGCAACAGCCAUCGCCCUUGACCUUAGGAAAAAAGGGAAGCAUCGGGGACCGUCACCACUGAGAAAACGAAUCAACGCUCCUCAUCUUCCUUCCCAUUUCCGUCAGCAUGACAGCUGACAGCGCUUAAAGAUUCAUUUCCAACAGCAUGACAGCAUUGAAAGAUUCAUCGAUCGGCAAGACUGUAGAAUUGAUGAAUAAAUGAAUAAUUGGACUAAGAGUGACCGAUGCGGUUACUUCAGCAUUAUACCUGUAUUUUGAUAAGCAAUUUGCUCUUCACAAGUCCCUCAUCCAAGAGCAAGCAACGGCGUCGCUCGCCGGCCGCCGGCCAUGGCAUCCCGGUUUUUCUUUCUUGUCGUUGCCGUCGUGGCCCGGCUCUGCAGCGCCGCUAUGGCGAC